Molecule: unclassified non-coding RNA, 343 nt
Filed under: soil metagenome
Description: partial contains 5.8S ribosomal RNA, internal transcribed spacer 2, and large subunit ribosomal RNA
Rfam family: 5.8S ribosomal RNA (bases 1-120)
Source: RNAcentral
GAUGAAGAACGUAGCGAAAUGCGAUAAGUAAUGUGAAUUGCAGAAUUCAGUGAAUCAUCGAAUCUUUGAACGCACAUUGCGCCCGCCAGUAUUCUGGCGGGCAUGCCUGUUCGAGCGUCAUUUCAACCCUCAAGCCCCCGGGCUUGGUGUUGGGGAUCGGCGUGCCCUCGCGGCGCGCCGUCCCCUAAAUCUAGUGGCGGUCUCGCUGUAGCUUCCUCUGCGUAGUAGCAACACUCGCACUGGAUCGCAGCGCGGCCACGCCGUUAAACCCCCCACUUCUGAAAGUUUGACCUCGGAUCAGGUAGGAAUACCCGCUGAACUUAAGCAUAUCAAUAACGGAGGA